Long non-coding RNA from Alosa sapidissima (American shad), 722 nucleotides. RefSeq lists it as uncharacterized. The transcript has 3 exons. The record is from RefSeq and is a predicted model, not a curated record. Lineage: Eukaryota; Metazoa; Chordata; Actinopteri; Clupeiformes; Clupeidae.
UUUGUUUUUGUGUCUUCUAUUGCUUUACAUUGGCCAAACAUGUGGUAUAAGCCUCGAAAUAGUGCAAAGAGACGAGCUGCAUCGUAAGGAAAGGUCCAAGAACAUUCACACUGGGACAAUUACUUUCGGCACAGGGAAUAUUUCACUGGGUCAAAAUCUGGAAUAUGAGGGACGAUCUGUUGGAGAAAACACUGCAGACGAUGGCUCCGUUAACUUUCAAGCAGACGAUCCACAUCCUGGCCUGGUGGGUGGACAAAGCACCACUGAAGACUUUAAGGCUUGGCAUCGUAUGCAACCAAAUUUAUUAUGUACUAAUGACCUCAUGGAGUUCUCUGCAAAAGGCCCUGGAUGUUCUUCACUCCAGUUAGACAGAGGUGGCACGCCUCUCUCACUAAGCCAGCUACCAGGAGACUGUGGCUACUCUGUGAAAAGGACUGCAGUGGGCCUUGUGUUUGUCGCCCCAUUUGAUGGUUGUGAUGUUAUAAAACAGGGAAAUAGCCACUUGCUGCAGAUGUUGUGGCACGACAAUCCAGUAACCCUCUCCUGCCCGGCAUCAAGCUCAGACCAAGUCUCUCCAGUUUUAUCCACUACUCCAGCUCCAACUACAGUAGCACCUACCACAGCUGCCGGGCUUCCUCCACAGAAUCAACAGUGGAUGCCCCCCUUCUUUGGAGGCUACUACCCUGUAAUGCCUGUGGAGACUCCCUCUGAAACUACUGUUG